Molecule: ribosomal RNA, 1386 nt
Filed under: Escherichia coli
Lineage: Bacteria; Pseudomonadati; Pseudomonadota; Gammaproteobacteria; Enterobacterales; Enterobacteriaceae
Description: partial 23S ribosomal RNA
Rfam family: Bacterial large subunit ribosomal RNA
Source: RNAcentral
CGCGAUACAGGGUGACAGCCCCGUACACAAAAAUGCACAUGCUGUGAGCUCGAUGAGUAGGGCGGGACACGUGGUAUCCUGUCUGAAUAUGGGGGGACCAUCCUCCAAGGCUAAAUACUCCUGACUGACCGAUAGUGAACCAGUACCGUGAGGGAAAGGCGAAAAGAACCCCGGCGAGGGGAGUGAAAAAGAACCUGAAACCGUGUACGUACAAGCAGUGGGAGCACGCUUAGGCGUGUGACUGCGUACCUUUUGUAUAAUGGGUCAGCGACUUAUAUUCUGUAGCAAGGUUAACCGAAUAGGGGAGCCGAAGGGAAACCGAGUCUUAACUGGGCGUUAAGUUGCAGGGUAUAGACCCGAAACCCGGUGAUCUAGCCAUGGGCAGGUUGAAGGUUGGGUAACACUAACUGGAGGACCGAACCGACUAAUGUUGAAAAAUUAGCGGAUGACUUGUGGCUGGGGGUGAAAGGCCAAUCAAACCGGGAGAUAGCUGGUUCUCCCCGAAAGCUAUUUAGGUAGCGCCUCGUGAAUUCAUCUCCGGGGGUAGAGCACUGUUUCGGCAAGGGGGUCAUCCCGACUUACCAACCCGAUGCAAACUGCGAAUACCGGAGAAUGUUAUCACGGGAGACACACGGCGGGUGCUAACGUCCGUCGUGAAGAGGGAAACAACCCAGACCGCCAGCUAAGGUCCCAAAGUCAUGGUUAAGUGGGAAACGAUGUGGGAAGGCCCAGACAGCCAGGAUGUUGGCUUAGAAGCAGCCAUCAUUUAAAGAAAGCGUAAUAGCUCACUGGUCGAGUCGGCCUGCGCGGAAGAUGUAACGGGGCUAAACCAUGCACCGAAGCUGCGGCAGCGACGCUUAUGCGUUGUUGGGUAGGGGAGCGUUCUGUAAGCCUGCGAAGGUGUGCUGUGAGGCAUGCUGGAGGUAUCAGAAGUGCGAAUGCUGACAUAAGUAACGAUAAAGCGGGUGAAAAGCCCGCUCGCCGGAAGACCAAGGGUUCCUGUCCAACGUUAAUCGGGGCAGGGUGAGUCGACCCCUAAGGCGAGGCCGAAAGGCGUAGUCGAUGGGAAACAGGUUAAUAUUCCUGUACUUGGUGUUACUGCGAAGGGGGGACGGAGAAGGCUAUGUUGGCCGGGCGACGGUUGUCCCGGUUUAAGCGUGUAGGCUGGUUUUCCAGGCAAAUCCGGAAAAUCAAGGCUGAGGCGUGAUGACGAGGCACUACGGUGCUGAAGCAACAAAUGCCCUGCUUCCAGGAAAAGCCUCUAAGCAUCAGGUAACAUCAAAUCGUACCCCAAACCGACACAGGUGGUCAGGUAGAGAAUACCAAGGCGCUUGAGAGAACUCGGGUGAAGGAACUAGGCAAAAUGGUGCCGUAACUUCGGGAGAA